GAUGAACGCUGGCGGCGUGCCUAAUACAUGCAAGUCGAACGAGUUCUGAUUAUUGAAAGGUGCUUGCAUCUUGAUUUAAUUUUGAACGAGUGGCGGACGGGUGAGUAACACGUGGGUAACCUGCCCUUAAGUGGGGGAUAACAUUUGGAAACAGAUGCUAAUACCGCAUAAAUCCAAGAACCGCAUGGUUCUUGGCUGAAAGAUGGCGUAAGCUAUCGCUUUUGGAUGGACCCGCGGCGUAUUAGCUAGUUGGUGAGGUAACGGCUCACCAAGGCAAUGAUACGUAGCCGAACUGAGAGGUUGAUCGGCCACAUUGGGACUGAGACACGGCCCAAACUCCUACGGGAGGCAGCAGUAGGGAAUCUUCCACAAUGGACGCAAGUCUGAUGGAGCAACGCCGCGUGAGUGAAGAAGGCUUUCGGGUCGUAAAACUCUGUUGUUGGAG
This 445-nucleotide ribosomal RNA is filed under the name Lacticaseibacillus rhamnosus. RNAcentral's name for it is "bacterial SSU rRNA". It matches the Rfam family "Bacterial small subunit ribosomal RNA", at positions 28 to 444 of the family's 1533-position model. Lineage: Bacteria; Bacillati; Bacillota; Bacilli; Lactobacillales; Lactobacillaceae. The record is from RNAcentral.